Molecule: ribosomal RNA, 208 nt
Filed under: Vibrio cholerae
Lineage: Bacteria; Pseudomonadati; Pseudomonadota; Gammaproteobacteria; Vibrionales; Vibrionaceae
Description: partial 16S ribosomal RNA
Rfam family: Bacterial small subunit ribosomal RNA
Source: RNAcentral
UUAAUUGAAGAGUUUGAUCAUGGCUCAGAUUGAACGCUGGCGGCAGGCCUAACACAUGCAAGUCGAGCGGCAGCACAGAGGAACUUGUUCCUUGGGUGGCGAGCGGCGGACGGGUGAGUAAUGCCUGGGAAAUUGCCCGGUAGAGGGGGAUAACCAUUGGAAACGAUGGCUAAUACCGCAUAACCUCGCAAGAGCAAAGCAGGGGACC